RNAcentral lists this ribosomal RNA (921 nucleotides) under groundwater metagenome. RNAcentral describes it as "bacterial SSU rRNA". It matches the Rfam family "Bacterial small subunit ribosomal RNA", at positions 142 to 1097 of the family's 1533-position model. The record is from RNAcentral.
CAUAGCUCAUCGAAAGAUGGGGUAAUUCUCCAUGGUAUCGCAAGAUUAAAGUACUUAACUGUACGUUUCGGGAUGAGCCUGCGUCCUAUCAGCUAGUUGGUGGGGUAAUUGCCUACCAAGGCUUUGACGGGUAGCUGGACUGAGAGGUCGAUCAGCCACAACUGCACUUAGAUACGGGCAGUACACCUACGGGUGGCAGCAACCAGGAAUAUUGCGCAAUGGACGAAAGUCUGACGCAGCGACGCCGCGUGGAGGAUGACAGCCCUCGGGUUGUAAACUCCUUUUAAUAGUCCUUUCACGGACUAUAGAAUAAGCCCCUACUAACUACGUGCCAGAAGUCUCGGUAAUACGUAGGGGGCAAGCGUUAUCCGGAUUUAUUGGGCGUAAAGUGUGCGUAGGCGCCUCGACAAGUCGUAUCUUAAAGACCAAGGCUUAACCUUGGGAGUGGAUACGAUACUGACGAGGUUGAGGAUUGUUAGGGAUGUCGGAACAGCUAGUGUAGCAGUGAAAUGCGUUGAUAUUAGCUGGAACACCAAAGGCGAAGGCAGACAUCUGGAAUUUUCCUGACGCUGAGGCACGAAAGCUAGGGUAGCGAAACAGAUUAGAUACCUGUGUAGUCCUAGCCGUAAACGAUGUCCGCUAGCUCUGUGUAUUUAUAUACGGGGUGUAAGCUAACGCGUUAAGCGGACCGCCUGGGGAGUACGGCCGCAAGGCUAAAACUCAAAGGAAUUGACGGGGACCCGCACAACCGGUGGAGCGUGUGGUUCAAUUCGAGACAAAACGAAAAACCUCACCAGGGCUUGACAUGAUACCGUUUAUGCUUUAAGAAACUAGAGCAAAUCCGCAAGGAUGGUACCACAGGUGCUUCAUGGCUGUCGUCAGCUCGUGCCGUGAGGUGUUCCCUUAAGUGGGGAAACGAGC